Non-coding RNA from Schistosoma mansoni, 46 nucleotides. The record is from Rfam. NCBI's taxonomy places the organism in Eukaryota, Metazoa, Platyhelminthes, Trematoda, Strigeidida, Schistosomatidae.
AAAUAAUUGAGGAGUCCUACAAUAGAACGAAACGGCCGUCCAGUGU